GUGGGGGAGAAAGAGGGAAAUGCUCCCUACAGCUGGAAAAAAGAAAUAUUCUCACUGAUCCAGUGGAAAAGUCCUUCACACCACUGCCUUGUCGGAGACGGCCCCGCAGGAGCACCGCGUUUCUAAGGACACCGGCCCUGCGCAUUGCCGCUCCUGCACGGACGGACGGACUCUGCUCCCACUCACGUCAGCACUGGGCCUCAUCCAACAACGCGCUGCAGGGAUGAAUUGGGUUUCUGUGCGGUUUUUCCUGAAAGGGAGUCAAAUGACAGGAUUUAAAGUUGCCUCCAGCUUGAAACAGUGAAUGCCAAAGUGCACAUGCUGAGGUGGAACAUUCUCGUCUCCCUGCCUCUAGACACCGGCCACAUGACCAUACGCAUUAAUUUUACGUCUCUAAAAAGCGGUGAGAGGCUUCAUACCAAGUGAUAUGAUUUUGAAUUCAGUGGUGAGAUCCCACCACUCCUGGCCCAGAGGAAGGGGCUUCUGGGCCGCCAUCCAUCCCGCUGCUCCCAGCCCAGAGGAAGGGGCUUCUGAGCCACUGUCCCACCACUCCAAGCUCAGAGGAGCUAUGGAAUCACAGCCAAGCAAGGUGAACCUUGCAGAAAGAGGGGAGGCAUCUCCUCCCCAAGGCCUCCCACAGGAGAGCCUAUUCACCCCUGAGCACAUGGAACCCUCACGUUACUGCACCUUGGGGAAGAAUGACGCUGGGUGAG
Molecule: long non-coding RNA, 713 nt
Organism: Heterocephalus glaber (naked mole-rat)
Lineage: Eukaryota; Metazoa; Chordata; Mammalia; Rodentia; Bathyergidae
Source: Ensembl